Molecule: non-coding RNA, 83 nt
Filed under: unclassified sequences
Description: DUF3800-IX RNA
Rfam family: DUF3800-IX RNA
About the family: Actinobacteria, Firmicutes (1 example), Nitrospirae, Proteobacteria, Verrucomicrobia (1 example).
Source: Rfam by way of RNAcentral
UCCCAUCCCGCGAAAUGUCGCCGAUUGUGGCGGCGCCGCCCCGUCUGGAAGUGAUGACGAUAAGGCUAGCGGGGUGGGUUGCA